GACGAAGGAUGCAAGCGUUAUCCGGAUUCAUUGGGCUUAAAGGGAGCGUAGGUGGACUGAUAAGUCAGUGGUGAAAUCUUUGGGCUUAACCCAAAAAUUGCCAUUGAUACUGUUGGUCUUGAGUAUAGUUGCCGUUGGCGGAAUAUGACAUGUAGUGGUGAAAUACAUAGAGAUGUCAUAGAACACCGAUUGCGAAGGCAGCUGACGGGACUAUAACUGACACUGAGGCUCGAAAGUGUGGGGAUCAAACAGG
Molecule: ribosomal RNA, 253 nt
Filed under: uncultured bacterium
Lineage: Bacteria
Description: partial 16S ribosomal RNA
Rfam family: Bacterial small subunit ribosomal RNA
Source: RNAcentral